This 315-nucleotide ribosomal RNA is filed under the name uncultured bacterium. RNAcentral's name for it is "bacterial SSU rRNA". It matches the Rfam family "Bacterial small subunit ribosomal RNA", at positions 30 to 342 of the family's 1533-position model. The record is from RNAcentral.
AUUGAACGCUGGCGGCGUGCCUAACACAUGCAAGUCGAGCGGUAACAGGUGUAGCAAUACAUGCUGACGAGCGGCGGACGGGUGAGUAACGCUUGGGAAUCUGCCUAUUAGGUGGGGGACAACCCGGGGAAACUCGGGCUAAUACCGCAUACGCUCUACGGAGGAAAGCCGGGGACCGCAAGGCCUGGCGCUAAUAGAUGAGCCCAAGUCGGAUUAGCUAGUUGGUAGGGUAAUGGCCUACCAAGGCGACGAUCCGUAACUGGUCUGAGAGGACGACCAGUCACACCGGAACUGAGACACGGUCCGGACUCCUAC